CCUACGGGUGGCAGCAGUGGGGAAUAUUGGACAAUGGGGGCAACCCUGAUCCAGCCAUGCCGCGUGUGUGAAGAAGGCCCUCGGGUUGUAAAGCACUUUCAGUGAGGAAGAACGCCUGGUGGUUAAUACCCAUCAGGAAAGACAUCACUCACAGAAGAAGCACCGGCUAACUCCGUGCCAGCAGCCGCGGUAAUACGGAGGGUGCGAGCGUUAAUCGGAAUUACUGGGCGUAAAGCGCGCGUAGGUGGCUUGAUAAGCCGGUUGUGAAAGCCCCGGGCUCAACCUGGGAACGGCAUCCGGAACUGUCAAGCUAGAGUGCAGGAGAGGAGGUAGAAUUCCCGGUGUAGCGGUGAAAUGCGUAGAGAUCGGGAGGAAUACCAGUGGCGAAGGCGGCCUUCUGGACUGACACUGACACUGAGGUGCGAAAGCGUGGGUAGCAAACAGGAUUAGAUACCCCGGUAGUC
This 464-nucleotide ribosomal RNA is filed under the name Vreelandella stevensii. Its description in RNAcentral is "partial 16S ribosomal RNA". It matches the Rfam family "Bacterial small subunit ribosomal RNA", at positions 338 to 795 of the family's 1533-position model. Lineage: Bacteria; Pseudomonadati; Pseudomonadota; Gammaproteobacteria; Oceanospirillales; Halomonadaceae. The record is from RNAcentral.